Molecule: ribosomal RNA, 460 nt
Filed under: uncultured bacterium
Lineage: Bacteria
Description: partial 16S ribosomal RNA
Rfam family: Bacterial small subunit ribosomal RNA
Source: RNAcentral
CCUACGGGUGGCAGCAGUGAGGAAUAUUGGUCAAUGGUCGGGAGACUGAACCAGCCAAGCCGCGUGAGGGAUGAAGGUACAGAGUAUCGUAAACCUCUUUUGUCAGGGAACAAAGGCGGGGACGCGUCCCCGGAUGAGUGUACCUGAAGAAAAAGCAUCGGCUAACUCCGUGCCAGCAGCCGCGGUAAUACGGAGGAGGCGAGCGUUAUCCGGAUUUAUUGGGUUUAAAGGGUGCGUAGGCGGUCGGAUAAGUUAGAUGUGAAAUCCCGAGGCUCAACUUCGGAAUUGCCUCUGAUACUGUUCGGCUAGAGAGUGGGUGCGGUAGGCGGAAUUUUUGGUGUAGCGGUGAAAUGCUUAGAGAUCAUACAGAACACCGAUUGCGAAGGCGGCUUACCAGGCUACUUCUGACGUUGAGGCACGAAAGCGUGGGGAGCAAACAGGAUUAGAUACCCCUGUAGUC